AUACGGAGGGUGCAAGCGUUACUCGGAAUCACUGGGCGUAAAGCGCGCGCAGGCGGGCUGAUAAGUUGGAUGUGAAAGCCUACGGCUCAACCGUAGAACUGCAUCCAAAACUGUCAGUCUAGAGUCUGGGAGGGGAAGAUGGAAUUAGUUGUGUAGGGGUAAAAUCCGUAGAGAUAACUAGGAAUACCAAAAGCGAAGGCGAUCUUCUGGAACAGUACUGACGCUGAGGCGCGAAAGCGUGGGUAGCAAACGGGAUUAGAAACCCGAGUAGUCC
This 274-nucleotide ribosomal RNA is filed under the name uncultured bacterium. RNAcentral's name for it is "partial 16S ribosomal RNA". It matches the Rfam family "Bacterial small subunit ribosomal RNA", at positions 523 to 796 of the family's 1533-position model. The record is from RNAcentral.